UACGUAGGGGGCAAGCGUUGUCCGGAAUCACUGGGCGUAAAGCGCGCGCAGGCGGCUGUCUGCGUCCGGGGUGAAAGCCCAGAGCUCAACUCUGGGACUGCCUUGGAUACUGGAUGGCUUGAGAUUGGGAGAGGGAUGCGGAAUUCCAGGUGUAGCGGUGAAAUGCGUAGAGAUGUGGAGGAACACCGAUGGCGAAGGCAGCCCCCUGGGCCAACACUGACGCUCAGGCACGAAAGCGUGGGGAGCAAACAGG
This 253-nucleotide ribosomal RNA is filed under the name uncultured bacterium. Its description in RNAcentral is "partial 16S ribosomal RNA". It matches the Rfam family "Bacterial small subunit ribosomal RNA", at positions 524 to 776 of the family's 1533-position model. The record is from RNAcentral.